AGAGUUUGAUCCUGGCUCAGAACGAACGCUGGCGGCAGGCUUAACACAUGCAAGUCGAACGCCCCGCAAGGGGAGUGGCAGACGGGUGAGUAACGCGUGGGAACGUCCCCCCUCGGUUCGGAAUAACUCAGGGAAACUUGAGCUAAUACCGGAUACGUCCGAGAGGAGAAAGAUUUAUCGCCGAGGGAUCGGCCCGCGUCUGAUUAGCUAGUUGGUAGGGUAACGGCCUACCAAGGCGACGAUCAGUAGCUGGUCUGAGAGGAUGACCAGCCACACUGGGACUGAGACACGGCCCAGACUCCUACGGGAGGCAGCAGUGGGGAAUCUUGGACAAUGGGCGAAAGCCUGAUCCAGCCAUGCCGCGUGAGUGAUCUGAAGGCCUUAGGGUUGUAAAGCUCUUUCGACGGGGACGAUAAUGACGGUACCCGUAGAAGAAGCCCCGGCUAACUUCGUGCCAGCAGCCGCGGUAAUACGAAGGGGGCUAGCGUUGUUCGGAAUUACUGGGCGUAAAGCGCACGUAGGCGGACAUUUAAGUCGGGGGUGAAAGCCUUGGGCUCAACCCAAGAAUUGCCUUCGAUACUGGAUGUCUCGAGACCGGGAGAGGUGAGUGGAAUUCCGAGUGUAGAGGUGAAAUUCGUAGAUAUUCGGAAGAACACCAGUGGCGAAGGCGGCUCACUGGCCCGGUUCUGACGCUGAGAGGCGAAAGCGUGGGGAGCAAACAGGAUUAGAUACCCCGGUAGUCC
RNAcentral lists this ribosomal RNA (743 nucleotides) under uncultured bacterium. RNAcentral describes it as "bacterial SSU rRNA". It matches the Rfam family "Bacterial small subunit ribosomal RNA", at positions 8 to 796 of the family's 1533-position model. The record is from RNAcentral.